Molecule: ribosomal RNA, 638 nt
Filed under: uncultured Campylobacterota bacterium
Lineage: Bacteria; Pseudomonadati; Campylobacterota
Description: bacterial SSU rRNA
Rfam family: Bacterial small subunit ribosomal RNA
Source: RNAcentral
UUAAACAUUCCGCCUGGGGAGUACGGUCGCAAGAUUAAAACUCAAAGGAAUAGACGGGGACCCGCACAAGUGGUGGAGCAUGUGGUUUAAUUCGAAGAUACGCGAAGAACCUUACCUAGCCUUGACAUAUAUUAGGACACCCUAGAGAUAGAGUGGUGCCUUCGGGAGCUUUUAUACAGGUGCUGCACGGCUGUCGUCAGCUCGUGUCGUGAGAUGUUGGGUUAAGUCCCGCAACGAGCGCAACCCUCGUCACUAGUUACUAACGGUUCGGCCGAGGACUCUAGUGAGACUGCCUUCGCAAGGAGGAGGAAGGUGAGGACGACGUCAAGUCAUCAUGGCCCUUACGGCUAGGGCAACACACGUGCUACAAUGGUUAGGACAAUGAGACGCAAUACCGCGAGGUGGAGCAAAUCUAUAAACCUAAUCUCAGUUCGGAUUGUUCUCUGCAACUCGAGAGCAUGAAGCUGGAAUCACUAGUAAUCGUAGAUCAGCUAUGCUACGGUGAAUACGUUCCCGGGUCUUGUACUCACCGCCCGUCACACCAUGGGAGUUGAUUUCACCCGAAGCGGGGAAGCUAAACUGGCUACCCUCCACGGUGGAAUUAGCGACUGGGGUGAAGUCGUAACAAGGUAACCGUA